AACUGUAAACUAUUCGGUGUUUCUGUGAGAGCAAACAAAGUCGCGAAAGGCGUUUCUAAUUAAUUGGCCUGUUCUUAAAUUAACAUGGUUGAAAGUUUCGUCGUUAUGAGUUUCGGUGUCAAUAUGGAAAUUUUGUGUUUCCAUAUCAAUAUCAUAAGGCCCUUCCAGGUCAAUGAUUGUAUUAUGCAAAAGACAUAUAAUCUUCACAAUUAUAUCAACAAAACUGGGAUCUGUCUCAAUAGGCUUCCAGAGAAGACGCCACUUGGAUGUUAUGAUACCAAAGGCACAUUCAAUGCAUCUUCGAGCUCUAGAAAGUCUACUGUUAAUAUAUUCGUUGUUUGCAUUUAUAUCCCUUCUUGAAUAUGGCCUUAAAAGAUUUUCGAGUAGUGGAUAAGCCUCAUCACCAAAAAAAACAUAUGGCAUCUUUGUGUUUGUUCCAGGCAAGCAGGAAUCUGGCGCCAAGAAUUCUCGAGCCUUUAGCAGCAUAUACAGUUGUGAUGCAUUGAAUGUUCCACCAUCACUUUGUUUUCCGUAACCUCCAAAUUCUAUGGCAAUAAAUUUGUACUUGGCAUCUGCUACCGCUUGAAAAGCCUGUUUAAAAAAAAAUGGAAGAACAUCCGCGACCAAUUCCGAAGCGAAUGGAAAAAAAUUCCUAUUCCAAAAUCUGGAGACCCUGGAAUUUCGGAGGAGGCUUACAGCCAUUACACUUCUUGGCCUCAUUUCACCAGUUUUGCUUUUUUUUAAAAGACCAGAUGAAACCGCGCAAAUUGGUUGGAAGUUUUGACGCAUCAUCACAAUUUUCCUUUCCAAAAGGAAAAUGGAUCCGAAACAAAAAUUAAUAUGCCGAAUGAAAAUUGAAAAAACAAUUUUUAAUUUUUCUUUUGACGGUAUUUCCGAUACCGACAAACUAUAAUACGCAAUAAAUAUAUUAAAAACUUA
Drosophila yakuba is the source of this 939-nucleotide long non-coding RNA. RefSeq lists it as uncharacterized. NCBI's taxonomy places the organism in Eukaryota, Metazoa, Arthropoda, Insecta, Diptera, Drosophilidae. The record is from RefSeq and is a predicted model, not a curated record. The transcript is spliced from 2 exons.